This 71-nucleotide transfer RNA is filed under the name Blattabacterium sp. (Nauphoeta cinerea). RNAcentral's name for it is "tRNA-Cys". Lineage: Bacteria; Pseudomonadati; Bacteroidota; Flavobacteriia; Flavobacteriales; Blattabacteriaceae. The record is from RNAcentral.
AUAGAUAGAAUAUGUGUGAUUUUGGAUGAUUAUUAAUUGGCAAUGGCACUGUGGCCGAAUGGGAAGGCAGA